Molecule: non-coding RNA, 447 nt
Organism: Colossoma macropomum (tambaqui)
Lineage: Eukaryota; Metazoa; Chordata; Actinopteri; Characiformes; Serrasalmidae
Source: the annotation of a RefSeq genome assembly
UACAUAAUCACACAUCAAAAAGCCAUCAUGACUUUAAUCACCAUCUUCAUCUGGAUGCUUGUUACAUGUACUUUGGGCUCUUUGGGGCAGGUUGUGGUCACUCAGACUGCAGCUAAAUCAGCUCAGCCUGGUCAUUCAGUCACUAUUGACUGCAAAGCCAACACUGUAGUUUAUCGUCUUGAGCGAGGGCUAACUUCCAAGGGCCGAUAUUAUACAUCCUGGUACCUUCAGAAACCUGGAGAAGAGCCAAAGCUUCUGAUAUAUUAUUCAGAUGAGAGAGAAUCUGGAGUUUCCUCUAAAUUUAGUGGUGGUGGAGGUCAUCCUUCAUCAGGAGGGAAUGGUCUGGAUUUUUCUCUGACCGUCAGUGGAGUCCAGGCUGAAGAUUCUGGAGAUUAUUACUGUGUGACUGCACAUAGGAUCAGUGAAAGCUGGGUGUUUACACAGUGA